GAACGCUGGCGGCGUGCCUAACACAUGCAAGUCGAGCGGGGAUAAAUGAGAAGGCAACUUUAAAGAUAUCCCAGCGGCGGACGGGUGAGUAACACGUGGGCAACCUGCCUUUUUACAGGGGGAUAACACUGGGAAACUAGUGCUAAUACCGCAUAACACAUAUAGUAGGCAUCUACUGUAUGUCAAAGGAAUAAAAUCCGGUAAGAGAUGGGCCCGCGUCCGAUUAGCUAGUUGGUGGGGUAAAGGCUCACCAAGGCGACGAUCGGUAGCCGGACUGAGAGGUUGAACGGCCACAUUGGGACUGAGACACCGGCCCAGACUCCGUACGGGAGGCAGCAGGUGGGGAAUAUUGCCGCAAGUGGGGAAACCCUGACGCAGCGACGCCGCGUGAAGGAAGUAAGGUUUCGGAUUAGUAAACUUCUUUGGCCGGGACGAAAAAAUGACGGUACCCGGUUAACAAGCCACGGCUAACUACGUGCCAGCCGCAGC
RNAcentral lists this ribosomal RNA (489 nucleotides) under uncultured bacterium. RNAcentral describes it as "bacterial SSU rRNA". It matches the Rfam family "Bacterial small subunit ribosomal RNA", at positions 31 to 518 of the family's 1533-position model. The record is from RNAcentral.